AAUUAACACAUCUUAUUUCCGAUAACAGUGAAAUACGUGUGAAAAAUUUGUUUUGUUUUUAAUUUCAUUAAAUUCCAAACUGUCAACAACAUCUUUUGAAUUCUUUUGAGGCGAAACAAAAACAAUCACUUUGGACUGAGUGGCUGGAAACCAGUAUUUGACGCACAUACACAUACUCUCUCUCGUUAGCUCUCAUGUACCGCCAAAGUUGUGAAGAUUAUUUCAAUUACCAG
Molecule: long non-coding RNA, 233 nt
Organism: Lucilia cuprina (Australian sheep blowfly)
Lineage: Eukaryota; Metazoa; Arthropoda; Insecta; Diptera; Calliphoridae
Exons: 2
Source: RefSeq, a predicted model, not a curated record